Molecule: ribosomal RNA, 507 nt
Filed under: uncultured bacterium
Lineage: Bacteria
Description: bacterial SSU rRNA
Rfam family: Bacterial small subunit ribosomal RNA
Source: RNAcentral
CAUGCCGCGUGAGUGAUGAAGGCCCUAGGGUCGUAAAGCUCUUUCGCCUGUGAUGAUAAUGACAGUAGCAGGUAAAGAAACCCCGGCUAACUCCGUGCCAGCAGCCGCGGUAAUACGGAGGGGGUUAGCGUUGUUCGGAAUUACUGGGCGUAAAGCGCGCGUAGGCGGAUUAGAAAGUUGGGGGUGAAAUCCCGGGGCUCAACCCCGGAACUGCCUUUGAUACUGGUAGUCUUGAGUUCGAGAGAGGUGAGUGGAAUUCCGAGUGUAGAGGUGAAAUUCGUAGAUAUUCGGAGGAACACCAGUGGCGAAGGCGGCUCACUGGCUCGAUACUGACGCUGAGGUGCGAAAGUGUGGGGAGCAAACAGGAUUAGAUACCCUGGUAGUCCACACCGUAAACGAUGAAUGCCGGUCGUCGGGUAGCAUGCUAUUCGGUGACACACCUAACGGAUUAAGCAUUCCGCCUGGGGAGUACGGUCGCAAGAUUAAAACUCAAAGGAAUUGACGGGG